Apodemus sylvaticus (European woodmouse) is the source of this 169-nucleotide long non-coding RNA. RefSeq lists it as uncharacterized. NCBI's taxonomy places the organism in Eukaryota, Metazoa, Chordata, Mammalia, Rodentia, Muridae. The transcript has 3 exons. The record is from RefSeq and is a predicted model, not a curated record.
GUGAGGUCCUCGGUGUAACCAGGUCCUCUGUGAGGUCCUCGGUGUAGCCAGGUCCUCUGUGAGGUCCUCGGUGUAACCAGGUCCUCUGUGAGGUCCUCGGUGUAGCCAGGUCCUCUGUGAGGUCCUCGGUGUAGCCAGGUCCACAUCCCACUUCUCACUGCUUGAUGAA